RNAcentral lists this ribosomal RNA (1462 nucleotides) under uncultured Campylobacterota bacterium. RNAcentral's name for it is "bacterial SSU rRNA". It matches the Rfam family "Bacterial small subunit ribosomal RNA". Lineage: Bacteria; Pseudomonadati; Campylobacterota. The record is from RNAcentral.
AAUGAACGCUGGCGGCGUGCUUAACACAUGCAAGUCGAACGAGAACGGUCCUAGCUUGCUAGGAUGUCAGCUAAGUGGCGCACGGGUGAGUAAUAUAUAGGUAAUCUGCCCCGAAGAGCGGGAUAACGUCUGGAAACGGACGCUAAUACUGCAUAUACCUUUUUUCCAUAAGGAGAAAAGGGAAAUGAAUUUUGCUUCGGGAUGAGCCUUUAUCGCAUCAGCUAGUUGGUAAGGUAACGGCUUACCAAGGCUAUGACGCGUAGCUGAUCUGAGAGGAUGAUCAGCCACACUGGUACUGAGACACGGACCAGACUCCUACGGGAGGCAGCAGUGGGGAAUAUUGCACAAUGGAGGAAACUCUGAUGCAGCAACGCCGCGUGGAGGAUGACACAUUUCGGUGCGUAAACUCCUUUUAUAAGGGAAGAAAAUGACGGUACCUUAUGAAUAAGCACCGGCUAACUCCGUGCCAGCAGCCGCGGUAAUACGGAGGGUGCAAGCGUUAUUCGGAAUCACUGGGCGUAAAGGGUAUGUAGGCGGGUUCUUAAGUCAGAUGUGAAAGCCCACGGCUCAACCGUGGAACUGCAUUUGAAACUGAGAACCUAGAAUAUGGAAGGGGCAGAUGGAAUUAGUGGUGUAGGGGUAAAAUCCGUAGAGAUCACUAGGAAUACCGAAAGCGAAGGCGAUCUGCUGGUACAUUAUUGACGCUAAGAUACGAAAGCGUGGGGAGCAAACAGGAUUAGAUACCCUGGUAGUCCACGCCCUAAACGAUGAAUGUUAGUCGUCGGAACGCUUGUCGUUUCGGUGAUGCAGUUAACACAUUAAGCAUUCCGCCUGGGGAGUACGGUCGCAAGAUUAAAACUCAAAGGAAUAGACGGGGACCCGCACAAGUGGUGGAGCAUGUGGUUUAAUUCGAAGAUACGCGAAGAACCUUACCUAGACUUGACAUACCGAGAAUCCUGCAGAGAUGCGGGAGUGCUAGCUUGCUAGAAUUCGGAUACAGGUGCUGCACGGCUGUCGUCAGCUCGUGUCGUGAGAUGUUGGGUUAAGUCCCGCAACGAGCGCAACCCUCGUCGUUAGUCGCUAACAGUUCAGCUGAGCACUCUAACGAGACUGCCUUCGCAAUGAGGAUGAAGGUGAGGACGACGUCAAGUCAUCAUGGCCCUUAUGUCUAGGGCGACACACGUGCUACAAUGGGGUGUACAGAGAGUCGCAAUACCGCGAGGUGGAGCCAAUCUCUAAAGCAUCUCUCAGUUCGGAUAGCACUCUGCAACUCGAGUGCUUGAAGCUGGAAUCACUAGUAAUCGCGGAUCAGCCAUGCCGCGGUGAAUACGUUCCCGGGUCUUGUACUCACCGCCCGUCACACCAUGGGAGUUGAUUUCACCCGAAACCGGGAAGCCAACCUUCGGGAGGCUACCGUUCACGGUGGAAUUAGCGACUGGGGUGAAGUCGUAACAAGGUAACC